AAAUGAAUAGACGGGGGCCCGCACAAGCAGCGGAGCAUGUGGUUUAAUUCGAAGCAACGCGAAGAACCUUACCAGGGCUUGACAUCCCUCUGGAUGGUAUAGAGAUAUGCCAGGCCGGUGUUGUUAAGAUACCGGACAGAGGAGACAGGUGGUGCAUGGUUGUCGUCAGCUCGUGUCGUGAGAUGUUGGGUUAAGUCCCGCAACGAGCGCAACCCCUAUCUCCAGUUGCCAGCACGGAAGGGUGGGGACUCUGGAGAGACUGCCGUGGAGAACACGGAGGAAGGUGGGGACGACGUCAAAUCAUCAUGCCCCUUAUGUCCUGGGCUACACACGUGCUACAAUGGCCAGCAACAGAGGGAAGCGAAGCGGCAACGCGGAGCGAAUCCCAAAAACCUGGUCUCAGUUCGGAUUGUGGGCUGCAACCCGCCCACAUGAAGUCGGAGUUGCUAGUAAUCGCGAAUCAGCAUGUCGCGGUGAAUGCGUUCCCGGGCCUUGUACACACCGCCCGU
RNAcentral lists this ribosomal RNA (509 nucleotides) under uncultured bacterium. RNAcentral's name for it is "bacterial SSU rRNA". It matches the Rfam family "Bacterial small subunit ribosomal RNA", at positions 903 to 1397 of the family's 1533-position model. The record is from RNAcentral.